UCAGAACGAACGCUGGCGGCAGGCCUAACACAUGCAAGUCGAACGAAGCCUUCGGGCUUAGUGGCGCACGGGUGCGUAACACGUGGGAAUGUGCCCUCAGGUACGGAAUAACUCACCGAAAGGUGUGCUAAUACCGUAUAAUAUCUCCGGAUCAAAGAUUCAUCGCCUGAGGAUCAGCCCGCGCCUGAUUAGGUAGUUGGUGAGGUAACGGCUCACCAAGCCGACGAUCAGUAGGGGGUCUGAGAGGAUGAUCCCCCACACUGGUACUGAGACACGGACCAGACUCCUACGGGAGGCAGCAGUGAGGAAUAUUGGACAAUGGAGGCAACUCUGAUCCAGCCAUGCCGCGUGAGUGAAGAAGGCCUUAGGGUUGUAAAGCUCUUUCAACUGUGAAGAUGAUGACGGUAGCAGUAGAAGAAGCCCCGGACUAGAUUCGUGCCAGCAGCCGCGGUAAUACGAAUGGGGCAAGCGUUGUUCGGAACCACUGGGCUUAAAGCGUGUGCAGGCGGACUUGAAAGUCAGGAGUGAAAUCCCAGGGCUCAACCCUGGA
Molecule: ribosomal RNA, 550 nt
Filed under: uncultured organism
Description: bacterial SSU rRNA
Rfam family: Bacterial small subunit ribosomal RNA
Source: RNAcentral